GAGUAACGCGUGGGAAUCUGCCCAGUUCUCUGGAAUAACUGAUGGAAACGUCAGCUAAUACCGGAUACGCCCUUUUGGGGAAAGAUUUAUCGGGAUUGGAUGGGCCCGCGUAAGAUUAGCUAGUUGGUGGGGUAAUGGCCUACCAAGGCGACGAUCUUUAGCUGGUCUGAGAGGAUGAUCAGCCACACUGGGACUGAGACACGGCCCAGACUCCUACGGGAGGCAGCAGUGGGGAAUAUUGGACAAUGGGGGCAACCCUGAUCCAGCCAUGCCGCGUGAGUGAUGAAGGCCUUAGGGUUGUAAAGCUCUUUCACCGGUGAAGAUAAUGACGGUAACCGGAGAAGAAGCCCCGGCUAACUUCGUGCCAGCAGCCGCGGUAAUACGAAGGGGGCUAGCGUUGUUCGGAAUUACUGGGCGUAAAGCGCACGUAGGCGGAUAUUUAAGUCAGGGGUGAAAUCCCGGAGCUCAACUCCGGAACUGCCUUUGAUACUGGAUAUCUAGAGACCGAGAGAGGUAAGUGGAACUCCUAGUGUAGAGGUGAAAUUCGUAGAUAUUAGGAAGAACACCAGUGGCGAAGGCGGCUCACUGGCUCGGAACUGACGCUGAGGUGCGAAAGCGUGGGGAGCAAAC
RNAcentral lists this ribosomal RNA (630 nucleotides) under Pelagibacterium halotolerans. Its description in RNAcentral is "bacterial SSU rRNA". It matches the Rfam family "Bacterial small subunit ribosomal RNA", at positions 108 to 773 of the family's 1533-position model. Lineage: Bacteria; Pseudomonadati; Pseudomonadota; Alphaproteobacteria; Hyphomicrobiales; Devosiaceae. The record is from RNAcentral.